AGAGUUUGAUCAUGGCUCAGGUUGAACGCUAGCCGCAUGCCUAACACAUGCAAGUUGAAUGGAAUACUAUGCUUGCGCAUAACCUAUUCCAUGGCGAACGGGUGAGUAACGCGUGAGAAUCAACCUUCAGGAUGGGGAUAACCUUCGGAAACGAAGAUGAAUACCCAAUAUCCCGAGAGGGAAAAGCUCCGGCACCUGAAGACGAGCUCGCGUCUGAUUAGUUAGUUGGUGAGGUAAUGGCUUACCAAGGCAAUGAUCAGUAGCUGGUUUGAGAGGAUGAGCAGCCACACUGGUACUGAGACACGGACCAGACCGCUACGGCGGGCAGCAGUGAGGAAUAUUCCGCAAUGGGCGAAAGCCUGACGGAGCGAUGCGGCGUGAAGGAUGAAGGUCUACGGAUCGUAAACUUCUUUACCUAGAGAAGAAGAAUGACGGUAUCUAGGCAAAAAGCAUUGGCUAACUUCGUGCCAGCAGCCGCGGUAAGACGAGGAAUGCAAGCGUUAUCCAGAAUUAUUGGGCGUAAAGAGCCUGUAGGUGGCCUUCAAAGUCUUUUGUGAAAGGGUACGGCUCAACCGUACAUGUGCAAUGGAAACUCGGAGGCUUGAGUAUGAGAAGAGUAGAGGGAAUUCUUAGUGGAGCGGUGAAAUGCGUAGAUAUUAAGAGGAACACCAAAGGCGAAAGCACUCUGCUUGCUCAUUACUGACACUCAGAGGCGAAAGCUGGGGGAGUGAAAUGGAUUAGAGACCCAUGUAAUCCCAGCCGUAAAU
RNAcentral lists this ribosomal RNA (767 nucleotides) under uncultured bacterium. RNAcentral describes it as "bacterial SSU rRNA". It matches the Rfam family "Bacterial small subunit ribosomal RNA", at positions 8 to 807 of the family's 1533-position model. The record is from RNAcentral.